UACGAGUGCCCCCAAGCGUUAUCCGGAAUUACUGGGUGUAAAGGUGCGUAGGCGGCGUUAUUAGUCUUUGUCAAAGCUCCGAGCUCAACUUGGAAAAGGCAGAAGAAACGGUAAUGCUAGAGAGUGUGAGAGGUUUGCGGAACUAAUGGUGUAGGGGUGAAAUCCGUUGAUAUCAUUGGGAACACCGAAGGCGAAGGCAGCAAACUGGCACAUUUCUGACGCUCAAGCACGAAAGCGUGGGUCGCGAAUGGGAUUAGAAACCCCCUGUAGU
This 271-nucleotide ribosomal RNA is filed under the name uncultured bacterium. Its description in RNAcentral is "partial 16S ribosomal RNA". It matches the Rfam family "Bacterial small subunit ribosomal RNA", at positions 524 to 794 of the family's 1533-position model. The record is from RNAcentral.